GCCUUGGCAGUGCAAUCGGUUAGCACAGCAGACCAGACAUCUGUAUAUACGGGUUCGAGUCCCGCUUGAAGUU
Molecule: transfer RNA, 73 nt
Filed under: Dictyocaulus viviparus (bovine lungworm)
Lineage: Eukaryota; Metazoa; Nematoda; Chromadorea; Rhabditida; Metastrongylidae
Rfam family: tRNA
About the family: Transfer RNA (tRNA) molecules are approximately 80 nucleotides in length. Their secondary structure includes four short double-helical elements and three loops (D, anti-codon, and T loops).
Source: Rfam by way of RNAcentral